This 479-nucleotide ribosomal RNA is filed under the name uncultured bacterium. RNAcentral describes it as "bacterial SSU rRNA". It matches the Rfam family "Bacterial small subunit ribosomal RNA", at positions 28 to 507 of the family's 1533-position model. The record is from RNAcentral.
GAUGAACGCUAGCGGGAGGCCUACCACAUGCAAGCCGAGCGGUAUUGUUUCUUCGGAGAUGAGAGAGCGGCGUACGGGUGCGGAACACGUGUGCAACCUACCUUUAUCUGGAGGAUAGCCUUUCAAAAGGAAAAUUAAUACUCCAUAAUAUAUUGAAGGGCAUCAUUUGGUAUUGAAAGCUCCGGCGGAUAGAGAUGGGCACGCGCAAAAUUAGCUAGUUGGUGAGGUAACGGCUCACCAAGGCGAUGAUCUUUAGGGGGCCUGAGAGGGUGAUCCCCCACACUGGUACUGAAACACGGACCAAACUCCUACGGGAGGCAGCAGUGAGGAAUAUUGGACAAGGGGUGCAAGCCUGAUCCACCCAUCCCGCGUGAAGGACGACGGCCCUAUGGGUUGUAAACUUCUUUUGUAUAGGGAUAAACCUACCCUCGUGAGGGUAGCUGAAGGUACUAUACAAAUAAGCACCGGCUAACUCCGUG